GUCCAGGGUAGCCUAGUGGUCAUGGCAUCUGCCCGGUAAGCGGAAGGUCGUGGGUUCGAUUCCCAUCCCCUUGACA
RNAcentral lists this transfer RNA (76 nucleotides) under Cordylochernes scorpioides. RNAcentral's name for it is "tRNA-Thr". The stretch from base 6 to 69 matches the Rfam family "tRNA", at positions 5 to 66 of the family's 71-position model. Rfam says of the family: Transfer RNA (tRNA) molecules are approximately 80 nucleotides in length. Their secondary structure includes four short double-helical elements and three loops (D, anti-codon, and T loops). Further hydrogen bonds mediate the characteristic L-shaped molecular structure. tRNAs have two regions of fundamental functional importance: the anti-codon, which is responsible for specific mRNA codon recognition, and the 3' end, to which the tRNAs corresponding amino acid is attached (by aminoacyl-tRNA synthetases). tRNAs cope with the degeneracy of the genetic code in two manners: having more than one tRNA (with a specific anti-codon) for a particular amino acid; and 'wobble' base-pairing, i.e. permitting non-standard base-pairing at the 3rd anti-codon position. The record is from RNAcentral. Lineage: Eukaryota; Metazoa; Arthropoda; Arachnida; Pseudoscorpiones; Chernetidae.